UAUUUAAUAUUGUUAAUUUGUUUUUAACAUGAUUGGUGAGGCGAAAUAUGUAUCGGAGAAAAAAGAAGAGAAGAGUUGAUGGGGAUGAAAGCUUUUGUGGAGAAAGAAGAUGAGUUGAUGUAUCUUAGUUUUUUUUAAAAUUUAACUCCUUGUUUAACUUCUUGGAUUAUUAGACUUUAUAAAUAUUUGAGUGUUGAACUUGUAUAAUAUUUUGGAGUCGUUUGAAGAA
Zingiber officinale is the source of this 229-nucleotide long non-coding RNA. RefSeq lists it as uncharacterized. Lineage: Eukaryota; Viridiplantae; Streptophyta; Magnoliopsida; Zingiberales; Zingiberaceae. The record is from RefSeq and is a predicted model, not a curated record. The transcript has 2 exons.